Phrynosoma platyrhinos (Desert horned lizard) is the source of this 71-nucleotide non-coding RNA. NCBI's taxonomy places the organism in Eukaryota, Metazoa, Chordata, Lepidosauria, Squamata, Phrynosomatidae. The record is from the annotation of a GenBank genome assembly.
GCCAGCGUAGUUCAGUGGCUUGAGUGUUGGACUAGGACUCUGAGACCAGGGUUCGAAUCCUUGCUCAGCCA